RNAcentral lists this ribosomal RNA (263 nucleotides) under uncultured archaeon. RNAcentral describes it as "partial 16S ribosomal RNA". It matches the Rfam family "Archaeal small subunit ribosomal RNA", at positions 717 to 982 of the family's 1478-position model. The record is from RNAcentral.
ACACGACUACAUUAGAUACCCGGGUAGUCCUGGCCGUAAACGAUGUGGACUUGGUGUUGGAAUGGCUCCGAGCUGCUCCAGUGCCGAAGGGAAGCUGUUAAGUCCACCGCCUGGGAGUACGUCCGCAAGGAUGAAACUUAAAGGAAUUGGCGGGGAGCACCGCAACGGGAGGAGCGUGCGGUUUAAUUGGAUUCAACGCCGGACAUCUCACCGGAUAAGACAGCUGAAUGAUUGUCAAUCUGAAGGUUUUACAUGACUAGCUG